RNAcentral lists this ribosomal RNA (463 nucleotides) under uncultured delta proteobacterium. RNAcentral describes it as "bacterial SSU rRNA". It matches the Rfam family "Bacterial small subunit ribosomal RNA", at positions 35 to 475 of the family's 1533-position model. The record is from RNAcentral. Lineage: Bacteria; Deltaproteobacteria.
GGCAAUCCGCGUGCUUACCAUGCAGUCGGACGAGAAUUCCGAGCAAUCGGGAGAGUAAAGUGGCGCACGGGUGAGUAACGCGUGGGUAAUCUACCCUGGAGUUGGGAAUAACACCUCGAAAGGGGUGCUAAUACCUAAUAUGAUUCUGGAGACUAUGGUCUUUGGAAUAAAAGGUGGCUGAGGCUUGCAAGCUAUUGCUCCAGGAUGAGCCCGCGUACCAUUAGCUGGUUGGUGGGGUAACGGCUCACCAAGGCAAUGAUGGUUAGCUGGUCUGAGAGGAUGGCCAGCCACACUGGAACUGAGAUACGGUCCAGACUCCUACGGGAGGCAGCAGUGAGGAAUCUUGCGCAAUGGGGGCAACCCUGACGCAGCAACGCCGCGUGAGUGAUGAAGGCCUUCGGGUCGUAAAGCUCUGUCAGAUGGGAAGAAGAUUUCAAAGGUAAAUAAUCUUUGGAAUUGACGG